Molecule: long non-coding RNA, 821 nt
Organism: Acanthopagrus latus (yellowfin seabream)
Lineage: Eukaryota; Metazoa; Chordata; Actinopteri; Spariformes; Sparidae
Exons: 5
Source: RefSeq, a predicted model, not a curated record
CUAAAACAAAUCUCAUGGAUAUGAUCGGGAGGCUGGCUCCCUGUUAACCCGCACAUAUGUAGAACAAUGUAGUUAUUAUGUCGAGCUCCCUGUUAUAUGAAGGAACAUCACCUGGGCUUAUUAACUGAGAUCUAGAAGAGCAGCAGGGACCAGAGUGACGAUCUGUCAGCUAUUAUUAUAGGCAUCUACAGUUUUGGAGGGAAAUGCACUAUGUUCACGCGGGAAACGAGCGAGACCGCCCCUUUUAGCGCGCACAACCUGGAUUCGUCAGAAAAUCUGUGGGCGGGACUUACUUUACUACGUUUAACUUGGACAACCAGAAGGAGACUUAUCUGUAUGCAGAGCCAAUAAAAUUGUUCUGAUUCUGAUUCUGAGUCAGUCACGAUGCAUCCAAUCAUGAAUUUCAUGAGGAGGUGGCGCCUGUUUGACACAGUCCCUUCAGGUUUGACAACAGAGGGGCUGCAGGUGGUGACGGUGGGUCAGACUGCAGUCUCACAUCAGACCCAUGAAACAUACCACACUUUUACAGUUAUUAUUCCAGCAGCGAUGGCACCAGCAGGUAUCAGCUGUUGAAAAUGACAGUGAUCUUUCCUUGGAGGUCGGUCAACAGACCAGCUCUGGUAAAAAGACCAAGACCCGGGCCACCACCAGAAGAAGCACGAUGAAGAAGUAAAAGUUCUGUACUCCACUACAAGUAAAAGCUUCUAGCUGUUAUCCUGUUUGCAGGGUUUGUGCUAAGCUUACCAAUUAUGUCACAUAAUCUUUAUUACUAUAUUUAACCAACCAAACCAAAGCAUGCAAAUAAAGUCUCCUGUUCGUCA